This is a non-coding RNA of Pelobates cultripes (western spadefoot toad), 314 nucleotides long. Lineage: Eukaryota; Metazoa; Chordata; Amphibia; Anura; Pelobatidae. The record is from the annotation of a GenBank genome assembly.
GUUUGAUUUCACAUUAGUGUGAUUGACUUGGAGUUACAUUGUGUUUAAGUGUUCCCUUUAUUUUUUUGAGCAGUGUAUAUUCCAGUGGACUGGUUUCUCCACAAUUCCUCUCUUUAACCUCUUUAAGACACAUGACGGAAAUAGUCAGUCAUAAUACCAUUUUAUUUUUGAAGCGGUGUCUUUAAUGAAACUGUGUUAGAGGGGUUCCCUUCAACCUUAACUCAGCAAUUGCAAAGAAACGAGUUUCCCUUCAGAGAGACAACUUUAAAAAGUCCAUUUCAAACUGAAGUUUGCCCAGUCUUUUUUAAUGUGAU